CUUCAUCAAGCCUCAUCAAACCUUAUCAACCGUAAUCACCCCUUAUCAACCGUAAUCAAACCUAACCAACCCUUAUCAACCCUUAUCAACUGUAAUCAACCCUUAUCAACCGUAAUCAACCCUUAUCAACCCUUAUCAACUGUAAUCAACCGUAAUCAACCCUUAUCAACCGUAAUCAACCGUAAUCAACCCUUAUCAACCCUUAUCAACCGUAAUCAACUCUUAUCAACCCUAAUCAACCCUUAUCAACCGUAACCAUCCUUAUCAACCGUAAUCAAACCUAACCAACCCUUAUCAACCGUAAUCAACCCUUAUCAACCCUUAUCAACCGUAAUCAACCCUUAUCAACCGUAAUCAACCCUUAUCAACCGUAAUCAACUCUUAUCAACCGUAAUCAACCCUUAUCAACCCUUAUCAACCCUAAUCAACCGUAAUCAAAUCUAACCAACCCUUAUCAACCGUAACCAUCCUUAUCAACCGUAAUCAAACCUUAUCAACCGUAAUCAAACCUAACCAACACUUAUCAACCCUAAUCAACCCUUAUCAACCCUUAUCAACCCUAAUCAACCGUAAUCAAACCUUAUCCACCGUAAUCAACUCUUACAGAAUUUGGUUUUUCACACCCUCCCACUCAGCCUUCAACCCUAAUUAACCCUUAUCAAUAUUAACUCUAAUCAACCCUUACAGCUCUAGCUGCUAUGGAGAACAACCUGGGGAGGUGAGAGUGGGGUGGGCGUGUGUGUGUGUGUGCUGAUGUUCGUGUGUCAUGCAUGCAAAGUGUGUCAAAUAACUUGAGAAGAAGAGAAAGUGAAAAAAUAGACACAUACAAAACACUGUAUAGUUGAGUCUGGUUCGAUGACAUGUUGGCUUUACAAAGGACGUGGUCAGAAAAUGGAACUUUGGAGGGUGGUUAACAAAAAAGGCAGCUCACCAGUGAAUCAAUUUUAUUGUAUUAAAUGACAUUCUUAUUCUAUUUCCCAACAACAACCCCAAAAGCAGGAGUAAAACUCCUUCCCUCUUUGGAGUGAGAGUGCAGCGAGGUGAGUGUGUGUCAGAAUGUGGUGUGUUUGACACAGCAGCUCUGGUUGGGGUGUUCGGCAAGGCGACAGAUGGGAGUUUGUGUGUGUGUGUGUUCGUGUGUGUGUAUGAGUGGGUAUGUGGGUGGGUGGCAGAGUGGAGAGCUUGCUGCCUGGGUGACCUUUUCUUGUGCGUAGAGGUGGCAUCAUUCUGACAGUGUGACAGAGGGAGACGUACCCUCCUUUUAAUGGAUGAGCUCUCUCAAGGUUACCACCUCUCCUCCAGCUCUUCUCUCUCUCUCCUGUCUCCUCUUCCAUUAGACUGUCUGUAACCCUUAUUCUCGUAUUCUUGUUUGGUAGCCUUGUCGCGAACCAGGCUUCCAUACAUGGCCAAAUAUAUGUGGACACCUGCUCGUUGAACAUCUCAUUCCAAAAUCAUGGGCAUUAAUAUGGAGUUGGUCCCCCCUUUGCUGCUAUAACAGCCUCCCCUCUUCUGAGAAUGUGAAGACAGACACUGGGAGACGAGAAGCAGGUACAGGGAGUGAAUAUUUAAUAAAUAACAGACAUAAAACAAAACACGGGCAGCGUCUGGACAAGGGAAACAUAACGACAUUAAUGCUGACUCUGAAAAGAAACUGAGGCAGUGACAGAUAUAGGGGAGGUAAUUAAUAAUGUGAUGGAGUCCAGGUGAGUCCGAUGAAGUGCUGAUGCACGUAACGAUGGUGACAGGUGAGUGUAAUGAUAAGCAGCCUGGUGACCUCGAGCGCCAGAGAGGUGGAGCGGGAGCAGACAUGACAGUAUGCGCCCCCUCUAGGGGCGCCACCUGGGUGGGACUGACGGGCCAGCCGAGGCAUGGGAGCUUCACGAGCCGGCUGAGGCAUGACAUGGGAUGGAAGCCUGCCGAGCCAACCGAGGCAAGAAAACCUCUCGAGCCAGCUAAGGCAUGGAAGCCCGACGAGCCAACUAAGGCAUGGAAGCCCGACGAGCCAGCUAAGGCAUGGAAGCCCGACGAGCCAGCUAAGGCAUGGAAGCCUGACGAGCCAACUAAGGCAUGGAAGCCCGACGAGCAAACUAAGGCAUGGAAUCCUGACGAGCCAACUAAGGCAUCCCCGGUUCCAUCAGCAGCGACACCUGGACCCGACGUCACCAACCAAAACAAAAAGCCUCCCUGAUGCUUCCAAUAUUGGUGUCAGCAUUCUGUGAGGACAGACACUGGGAGAUGAGAAGCAAGUGACUAUAUUUAAUAAAUAGCAGACAUGACACAAAACACGGACAGCGUCUGGACAAGGGAAACAUAACGACAUUAAUGCUGACACGGGAAAGGGCCUUCCCCAAACUGUUUCCACAAAGUUGGAAGUACAGAAUCGUCUAGAAUGUCAUUGUAUGCUGUAGCGUUAAGAUUUCCCUUCACUGGAACUAAGGGACAUAGACCAAACCAGGAAAAACAGCCCCAGACCAUUAUUCCUCCUCCACCAAAAACUUUACAGUUCGCACUAUGCAUUCGGGCCGGUAGGGUACUCCUGGCAUCUGCCAAACCGAGAUUCGUUCAUAGGACUGCCAGACGGUGAAACGUGAUCAAUCAUUCCAGAGAACGCGUUUUCACUGCCAAUGACGGCGAGCUUUACACCACACCAGCUGAAGCUUGGCAUUGCGCAAAGUGAUCUUAGGCUUGUGUGCGGCUGCUCGGACAUGGAAACCCAUUUCAUGAAGCUCCCGAUGAACAGUUGCUCCCAGAGGCAGUCUGGAACUUGGUAGGGAGUGUUGCAACCGAGGCCAGAUGAAUUUUACGCAUUAUGCGCUUCAGCACUCGCUGGUCCCGUUCUGUGAGCUUGUGUGGCCUACCACUUUUUCGUUUACACUUCAUAAUACAGCGCUUACAGUUGACCGGGGCAGUUCUAGCAGCGCAGAAAUUUGACAACAUUUUUUGGAAAGGUGGCAUCCGAUGAUGGUGCCACAUUGAAAGUCACUGAGUUCUUCAGUAUGGCCAUUCUACUGGCAAUGUUUGUCUAUGGAGAUUGCAUGACUGUGUGCUCAAUUUUAUACACCUGUCAGUAACAGGUGUGGCUGAAAUAGCCGAAUCCACUCAUUUGAAGGGGUGUCCACACAGCUUUAGUGUGGCAGAAAUCAGCUAAAGAGGGGUCAGAGCCAGGUCGGAACCAUCGUGUAAAUCAGUGACACAUCCAACCAAUCAAAUGCCUUGCUUGAGCGGUGCUCCAAAGGUGCUCACCAGAUUAAUGCCGUAGAAGCAAGAGUGAGUCAGGACAAAACAUGUCAACAAUAUUUUUAGAACGUUUGCAGCAUGCUAGUUGUCUCUGUUAUAUCGAGAUGCG
This 3346-nucleotide long non-coding RNA is filed under the name Salmo salar (Atlantic salmon). RNAcentral describes it as "lncRNA (ENSSSAG00000097171.1)". Lineage: Eukaryota; Metazoa; Chordata; Actinopteri; Salmoniformes; Salmonidae. The record is from RNAcentral.